ACCCUCAAAUUUAAGGGCUAUCUGUCCCUUGUUUCAAGCUCUGCUUCACACAAAAUAUCCCCCCAGCUUGUACCCUUAAGACCUCCAUGGAAACAUAGCUAAAUAUGGAACCUGAGGCUCACAAUACUGCUUCUUCUUCUUCUUCCUCAACUGCCUCUCCCUCCUCUUCUUUCCCUUCUCCAAUAAACAACUCCACGGAAUUGAAGUACCAAAAAAGCUCCAAGCGAGAUCAAGAACUCAAGAGCGAGGAUGAAACAAACAAAAAGGUAAAGAUUACUAGUGAAAAAGCAAGAAGGCAUCCAUCUUAUCGGGGAGUAAGAAUGCGUCAAUGGGGCAAAUGGGUAUCCGAAAUCCGGGAACCGAGGAAGAAAUCAAGAAUUUGGCUAGGAACUUAUUCAACAGCAGAAAUGGCAGCUCGAGCUCACGAUGUAGCAGCUCUAACAAUAAAGGGUCGUUCAGCUCAUCUCAAUUUUCCAGAGCUAGCUCAUGAGCUUCCCCGUCCGGCAAGUGCAUCUCCGAAAGAUAUUCAAGCUGCUGCUGCUCUAGCAGCCGCCUUGAGCUACAAGAGUAAAGGUCACGAUCAAGCUGAAAUGGAGUCAAGCCAAGAUAGUACGGAGGCAUCUCAUGAUACUCCAGAGUUCUUAAGCUCAACAUUAAGAGAUCAUGAAGAUGACACUUUUAUCGACCUGCCGGAUCUUCUACUGGACAUAAGUCAUAAAAUUGAUGAGUUCUGUCACUUGUCAUCAUCUUGGCAGCAGGUUGCUGGAGUUGAGACUUUGGACACCGGAUUCUGGCAUGAAGAAGAGACAUCUUUAUGGGAGUAUUAAUUACAAGUUGAAACAAUUACGUAGGUAUUAUAGUUAAACUUUAGUUACUAGCUAGUUUAUAACAGUUCAGUCUCAAGUUGUUACUACUUUUUCUCCAAUUCUGCGCAUACGCAUACCAAAAACAGUAAAUCUGAAGUUCCAACUUUCCA
Molecule: unclassified non-coding RNA, 976 nt
Filed under: Hevea brasiliensis (rubber tree)
Lineage: Eukaryota; Viridiplantae; Streptophyta; Magnoliopsida; Malpighiales; Euphorbiaceae
Source: RNAcentral